GAUGAAGAACGUAGCGAAAUGCGAAAAGUAAUGUGAAUUGCAGAAUUCAGUGAAUCAUCGAAUCUUUGAACGCACAUUGCGCCCGCCAGCAUUCUGGCGGGCAUGCCUGUUCGAGCGUCAUUUCAACCCUCGCAGCCCAUCUGGGCAGCGGUGUUGGGGACCGGCACCACCGGCGAAGCCCUUAGGGGCCCAGCCGGCGCCGCCCCCGAAAUACAGUGGCGGUCUCGCUGCAGCCUCCCUUGCGUAGUAGCACACCUCGCACCGGAGCGCAGCGCGGCCACGCCGUAAAACCCCCGACUUUCUGAGUUUGACCUCGAAUCAGGUAGGAAUACCCGCUGAACUUAAGCAUAUCAAUAAGCGGAGGA
RNAcentral lists this unclassified non-coding RNA (365 nucleotides) under soil metagenome. RNAcentral describes it as "partial contains 5.8S ribosomal RNA, internal transcribed spacer 2, and large subunit ribosomal RNA". The stretch from base 1 to 120 matches the Rfam family "5.8S ribosomal RNA", at positions 35 to 154 of the family's 154-position model. The record is from RNAcentral.